This 254-nucleotide ribosomal RNA is filed under the name uncultured bacterium. RNAcentral describes it as "partial 16S ribosomal RNA". It matches the Rfam family "Bacterial small subunit ribosomal RNA", at positions 524 to 776 of the family's 1533-position model. The record is from RNAcentral.
UACGUAGGGGGGCAAGCGUUGUCCGGAUUUAUUGGGCGUAAAGAGCGUGUAGGCGGCCAGGUAGGUCUGCUGUGAAAACUCGAGGCUCAACCUCGAGACGUCGGCGGAAACCAUCUGGCUAGAGUCCGGAAGAGGAGAGUGGAAUUCCUGGUGUAGCGGUGAAAUGCGCAGAUAUCAGGAAGAACACCCGUGGCGAAGGCGGCUCUCUGGGACGGUACUGACGCUGAGACGCGAAAGCGUGGGGAGCGAACAGG